GUAAAAAUUCCGGGAAUGACGUCAUAAAUAAAACUCAACGGAAACGAAUUGUCAACCGGUCACAUAAAACUGGAAUCCACUUGUAUUACGCUUCACUGAAACUGAUGAACAAAGUGUAGUAGUCCGCCGAGAACCAGCCUAUUAUCAUAACAAGAGGCUGUCACAACGACAGCAAACCGGAUUUAUUAAUAUUUAUUUGUGUCCUGGCAAUAUCACAAGAACCAUUACUGAUGAAUGGUGAAAGUGAAAAUCGUCAAUAUCAAAUUUGACCUCCAUUUUGUCAUCAGUAUCAACAUCUUAAAAUUUGAAAAGCUUAGAUUGAAUGGUUCAUGAGUAAAUGCAACAACGUGAAUGGAAACGCCAUUUCACAAUCUUUCAAGAACCAUAACUCCUGAACG
This 398-nucleotide long non-coding RNA is filed under the name Mytilus galloprovincialis (Mediterranean mussel). The record is from RNAcentral. Lineage: Eukaryota; Metazoa; Mollusca; Bivalvia; Mytilida; Mytilidae.